UACGUAGGGUGCGAGCGUUGUCCGGAAUUACUGGGCGUAAAGAGCUUGUAGGCGGUUCGUCGCGUCGAUCGUGAAAUCGUGCAGCUCAACUGCGCGUCUGCGGUCGAUACGGGCGGACUAGAGUAUUGCAGGGGAGACUGGAAUUCCUGGUGUAGCGGUGAAAUGCGCAGAUAUCAGGAGGAACACCGGUGGCGAAGGCGGGUCUCUGGGCAAUAACUGACGCUGAGAAGCGAAAGCGUGGGUAGCGAACAGG
RNAcentral lists this ribosomal RNA (253 nucleotides) under uncultured bacterium. RNAcentral describes it as "partial 16S ribosomal RNA". It matches the Rfam family "Bacterial small subunit ribosomal RNA", at positions 524 to 776 of the family's 1533-position model. The record is from RNAcentral.